UAAGAUAGAGGUCCCGCCUGCCCUGUGACUAUAAGUUUAACGGCCGCGGUAUUUUGACCGUGCGAAGGUAGCGCAAUCACUUGUCUUUUAAAUGAAGACCUGUAUGAAUGGCACCACGAGGGCUUAGCUGUCUCCUUUUUCCAGUCAAUGAAAUUGAUCUCCCCGUGCAGAAGCGGGGAUACGCACAUAAGACGAGAAGACCCUAUGGAGCUUUAGACACCAAGACAGAUCAUGUUAAACACCCCCUAAUAAAGGGCCAAACCAAAUGAGUCCUGUCCCCAUGUCUUUGGUUGGGGCGACCGCGGGGAAACAUAAAACCCCCACGUGGAAUGGGAGUACCCCCUCCUACAGCUAAGAGCUCCCGCUCUAGCAAACAGAAAUUCUGACCAACAAGAUCCGGCAACGCCGAUCAACGGACCGAGUUACCCUAGGGAUAACAGCGCAAUCCCCUUUUAGAGCCCAUAUCGACAAGGGGGUUUACGACCUCGAUGUUGGAUCAGGACAUCCUAAUGGUGCAGCCGCUAUUAAGGGUUCGUUUGUUCAACGAUUAAAGUCCUACGUGAUCUGAGUUCCAGACC
RNAcentral lists this ribosomal RNA (578 nucleotides) under Epigonus telescopus (black cardinal fish). RNAcentral describes it as "partial 16S ribosomal RNA". It matches the Rfam family "Bacterial large subunit ribosomal RNA", at positions 1839 to 2617 of the family's 2925-position model. Lineage: Eukaryota; Metazoa; Chordata; Actinopteri; Acropomatiformes; Epigonidae. The record is from RNAcentral.